RNAcentral lists this long non-coding RNA (3886 nucleotides) under Sus scrofa (pig). RNAcentral's name for it is "lncRNA (ENSSSCG00035000812.1)". The record is from RNAcentral. Lineage: Eukaryota; Metazoa; Chordata; Mammalia; Artiodactyla; Suidae.
ACCCCAAUAGGAUCCAGUGGAAGAAAAGUCAGGCAAACUCGAGCACGAACACACCACAAGGAGAUCAGAACUUCCAGCUGGCUCUCUGCUGCCACAGCUCCACCAAAGGGUGGGGGGAAUCAGAGGGAGCCUUGCCGGAGACUAAACCCAGAGCUGAGAGGAGAGGCAGGUGGUACAGCUCCUCCCAAGCACUUGACUGAGGACCAAGCAGCUGGUGAGGGGCCACUACGGUCUUCCUUUGAGCAAAGUCAGCAGGAAGCUGGCACUGGGUCACACAAGGCAAGAGUCUAGCUGGUGUGAGUUCCAAGGUGCGUCCCUGGAUCAUGAGGUCAUCCCUCUGCUGGCUCCUCCCACUUCUCCUCAUCUUGGCCUCAGCGGCCCAAGGCCAGCCAACAAGACGACCAAGACCCAGACCAAGGCCCCGGCCAAGACCCAGACCCAGGCCGACACCCAGCUUUCCUGAUCCCCAUGAGCCAUCAGAGCCUACAGACCUGCCUCCUCCCCUCCCACCGGGCCCGCCAUCUGUCUUUCCUGACUGUCCCCGGGAGUGCUACUGCCCCUCUGAUUUCCCAUCUGCCCUCUACUGUGACAGCCGCAACCUUCGAAAGGUCCCUGUCAUCCCGUCCCGCAUCCAUUACCUCUAUCUCCAGAACAACUUCAUAACCGAGCUUCCGGUGGAGUCCUUCAAGAAUGCCACAGGCCUGAGGUGGAUCAACCUGGACAACAACCGCAUUCGCAAGGUGGACCAGAGGGUGUUGGAGAAACUGCCCAGCCUGGUGUUCCUCUACAUGGAAAAGAACCAGCUCGAAGAGGUGCCCUCAGCCCUGCCCCGGAACCUGGAGCAGCUCAGGCUGAGCCAGAACCAGAUCUCCAGAAUCCCGCCCGGCGUCUUCAGCAAGCUGGAGAACCUGCUGCUCUUAGAUCUCCAGCACAAUAAGCUGAGCGACGGCGUCUUCAAACCCGACACCUUCCAGGGCCUUAAGAACCUCAUGCAGCUCAACCUGGCCCACAACAUCUUAAGAAAGAUGCCGCCCAAGGUCCCCACGGCCAUUCACCAGCUCUACCUGGACAGCAACAAGAUCGAGACCAUCCCCAAUGGAUACUUCAAGGGUUUCCCCAACCUGGCCUUCAUUCGCCUCAACUACAACAAGCUUUCAGACAGGGGACUCCCCAAGAACUCCUUUAAUAUCUCCAACCUGCUCGUGCUCCACCUGUCACACAACAAGAUCAGCAACGUGCCUGCCAUCAACAACAAGCUGGAGCACCUGUACCUCAACAACAACAGCAUCGAGAAAAUCAAUGGGACCCAGAUUUGCCCCACCGAUCUAGUCGCCUUCCACGACUUCUCCUCGGAUCUGGAGAACGUGCCACACCUCCGCUACCUGCGGCUGGAUGGGAACUACCUGAAGCCGCCCAUCCCACUGGACCUCAUGAUGUGCUUCCGCCUGCUGCAGUCCGUGGUCAUCUAGGCCUUCCUCUGCCCCUGGAGCCCCUGUGACCACACUUGACCCAGGAGCCCAUGCCCACCAUUUGUUUUCUCUGUCUCCUAUACUUGCUCCCACCUUUGCCUUUCUUAUCCCACCUUCCUGAGGCAGGGACAGGCCACAUACUCUGCUGCCCCUGCAGCUUCUAGAGCAAGACGUCUAAAGGCCGUAUUUGGUCCACGCAGCUCAAAGACACACACCACACACCCAAACUCCGGGCCCCAGAAGCAACGCUAUGUGUCUAGAGAUUUUUAUCUUCUCUUCUCCCUCCUCCUCCCCUCAGCCUUCCUGGGUAAGUCUGGGCCAUGGACUGACAUCUGGAUCUUGGUCUUGGCCAGAGCAAGCAGAAGAUGGUCAGGGGCAGCCCCGAAGUGGGGUUUGGAAAGUUCUGCUGGAAAAUGCUCCAUCUUCCAAUAGUGCUGCUUCACUGCCCCAUUCACUGGCACCAGACAUCACACUGGCUCUCUGUCCACCUCUGUUCCCCAGAAAGGAAGGGCAAGGGAAUGGCUGAGGGAGGGUGGAGGGUCAGAGAUUUGCACAAGGGCCUGCGUCAGCUGUCUCAUCAUAGGGACCAGAUGGAGCCCUCCUCCUCAGCACACAGCUUCCUGGCUGGGACGCUCUACUCCAAGAGUAAGAGCAGGGAGUCACAGUCAAGGAGAAGAAUGGCUCAGAAAACUAGGAAUCAGUCAAUGGAGCCCUUAGGGGUGCAGAUGGGUCCUACAGCCCCCUUGGCCACUCUGGACAAGGGGCCCAAUGCCCUGGGGAACACAGUCUCCACAGUGGAGGGUAUGGAGCCUUCAACCCCGACCUGCCAUCUGUUCUCUAUCAGUGGGAAUGGCCCGGUCCUUUCCAUUCCCCAGAAAAAUUCCUGAGAAACUGCUCAAGAAGGGGCAGAGCGCCUGGAAAUCUCCCAGAAGCCUCUUCCACUUGUGCAGAUUAGCCUCGCCUCCUAAGACAAGACACAGCAGUGACACCUGGUGGCUGGUGCUGGUCAUGUCUCCCCCCACCCCCCCACCCCCACCCCCCGCCACCCAUGCUCCUUCUCUUCUCUCUCUGGGAUGAUUUUCCAAGGUCAAGGAGUUGGCCUUGGGUUCCAACUUGACGAGCCAUGGGCAACAUAUGUGGUCACUCUCUCCUUUGGGAUCUAAAGGGCACAAAGGUAUGGAGGCCCCCAGUUGGAGGGCCUGAGCCCCAUCUUGAAUCAGCACAAGUAGGAACCUUGAGGAACCCAGGUGAGGAUAUGAUUUGUUCCCAUUUGCUGCCUGACCUGCAGCCCUUUCUGCGCUCAGCUUCCAAUGGUAAACCAAGGAGGUGGAUCAAGUGCCCUUCCAAGGACACUUUCGUGCUCAUGUUCCUGCAUGCAGCUCCAUCUUUCAGACCAUGCUCUAUGCAGGACAAGCCCGAAAUAGCAUCCCUCUCUCCUGCAAUAAUUUAUUCCCUAUAUGGACCGUCCUUCCCUCAAAGUACCCAUCCUCCCUGCCUGGCCCAGAUAAGCAGGGUGACAGGCCUCCAAGGGGAGCCUGGGCGCCACAAGGCUGACUCGCCUUCACCUUCCCCUUAACUUCCCCUAGGGCAUGCUGCCCCUCUACAGUCCCUUCAGUGUAUGUUGGGGGUGGGGGGGAGGAAUAGUCUAGAAAUAAGUAGGACACAGUGCCUACUCUCAAGUUUGGUUGAGCCAAGUUCCAGAGAGUUUUAAGAAAUUGGAUUAAGCUGGGUCCCAAGGUCAAGAAAUUCCCACUAUACUCUUUUUUCUUUUCACUCUUCUCUGCUAAUUUACAGAAAAUGGGGCCCAUUUCAUCUCCUUCCCCCAUGUUCCCAUACAACUGGUUCGUUCUUCCUAGCUGCAGCUGGUUUCUCCAAGGCUCCUGCUUAAAGUCAAUAUAUUAUUGUGGCUGUAAGCAAUCUGGUGCUAUGGCCUGGAUAAGCCCCCCCUUCUGCACCUUAUUUCUUCCUUGCGCCCUCAGCCCUUCUGGGCAGCACAACUCCCAGGGCUCCCUGGGCGGGGAGGGAUCAUGCCCCUGCUUCUGCAAACCUGAACUGUUUUGUUUUGGCAGCAUUACAUUCAUCAUCAUCCCAUUGCCCCAUCUGGAAGAUGCCUGCUUCCUCCCCUGCUGCCUGCAGCUGUAAACCAGAGGAUAUUAAACUAGUUUUACACACACACACACACACACACACACACAUAUUUGUGGUCAUUUCCCUUGGGAUUAAGGAAGCCCCCUCCUCCCCACACACAAAUUCAUUCCCUCAGUGCUGCUGGCAUAUGCAUACACAGAUGUGUAAGUAGGUGUGCAUGUGUACUCUGUACAUAUAGCUAUUCUUUCCUGAAGACCAUGCUAACUUUAUGAAACUACUUUCACAUUCCAAUGUGCUUCACAGCAGAGGAAAUAAAGUGAUAUGAAAAA